Molecule: non-coding RNA, 54 nt
Organism: Salmo salar (Atlantic salmon)
Lineage: Eukaryota; Metazoa; Chordata; Actinopteri; Salmoniformes; Salmonidae
Source: Rfam
UGCACUCACUACUGUAAGUUCCUCUGGAUAAGAGCGUCUGCUAAAUGACUAAAA